RNAcentral lists this ribosomal RNA (359 nucleotides) under uncultured Bacteroidota bacterium. RNAcentral describes it as "bacterial SSU rRNA". It matches the Rfam family "Bacterial small subunit ribosomal RNA", at positions 140 to 499 of the family's 1533-position model. Lineage: Bacteria; Pseudomonadati; Bacteroidota. The record is from RNAcentral.
GGUAUAGCCUUUAGAAAUGAAGAUUAAUCCCCCAUAGUCUCUUAGAGUGGCAUCACUUCUAGAGUAAAGGUUACGGUAUAAGAUGAGUAUGCGUUCUAUUAGUUUGUUGGUGUGGUAACGGCACACCAAGACUACGAUAGAUAGGGGCCCUGAGAGGGGGAUCCCCCACACUGGUACUGAGACACGGACCAGACUCCUACGGGAGGCAGCAGUGAGGAAUAUUGGACAAUGGAGGCAACUCUGAUCCAGCCAUGCCGCGUGCAGGAAGACUGCCCUAUGGGUUGUAAACUGCUUUUAUACAGGAAGAAACACCUCUACGUGUAGAGGCUUGACGGUACUGUAAGAAUAAGGAUCGGCUA